RNAcentral lists this ribosomal RNA (344 nucleotides) under Babesia motasi. RNAcentral's name for it is "SSU rRNA". It matches the Rfam family "Eukaryotic small subunit ribosomal RNA", at positions 455 to 870 of the family's 1831-position model. The record is from RNAcentral. Lineage: Eukaryota; Apicomplexa; Aconoidasida; Piroplasmida; Babesiidae.
CACAGGGAGGUAGUGACAAGAAAUAACAAUACAGGGCAUAUGUCUUGUAAUUGGAAUGAUGCCGACUUAAACCCUCGGCAGAGUACCAAUUGGAGGGCAAGUCUGGUGCCAGCAGCCGCGGUAAUUCCAGCUCCAAUAGCGUAUAUUAAACUUGUUGCAGUUAAAAAGCUCGUAGUUGAAUUUGAGCUUGCGCGAUUCCGUUAUUGGAGUAUUGCGCUUGCUUUUUUGUUACUUUGAGAAAAUUAGAGUGUUUCAAGCAGACUUUUGUCUUGAAUACUUCAGCAUGGAAUAAUAGAGUAGGACCUUGGUUCUAUUUUGUUGGUUUUUGAGCCUUGGUAAUGGUU